CAUAUACAAGUAUUUUUUUUUUUCUUUUAGCCCAGCUCUGAUUGCCUCUCAUUUAGUUCUGCCUGACUCGCUACUACCUGAAACCUAGGGAUCUCUUUGCCAAGGAGAAGCUGUGUUUUAUGAUGUGCAGAUGUGCCCAAAUUAAACGUCCUGAAGACACUCACAGCUGCAGGAAUAGAAGCAGGUGCCUGGAUGUAGAGUGAUGAGAAGACACCAUCUGCCGUAAAGGAGCUCACCUUGACUCACGUGGCCCAGCAACGUCUCAUCAGCUAAGAACUCUAGAUUAUUAUACAAAAUCAUCAUGUUUGUCUUGUGAUGACAGAUUGGAAUUUAUUUCUCCAAUCCAAAACACCGGUCAAUGGAAUACAAACUACCCUUGUCCAAGGACCAAUCGGGUUUUCUGUGAAGGCUCAGAGAGGUUCUGCAACUUGACCACAUCACACAGCGAUGGAGCCUAGAUUUAGCCCAAUCAUUUUUUUCUCUAUUAACCCCAAACCAAAAGACCAGAGGGCCCAAAGAAAGCUGAGAAGGUUGACUGCUGUGCAUUGCCUUUAAGUGAGCAAAUCAUUGUUCUUAAUAAUAGAAAACAUGGCUGUGUGCUAUAGUUGAAGAAAGGUGAAAAAAUAGAAAAAUGUAUUGAGCUUGGUUAACAAUUAAAAGAAUAAAUAAAUUAAUUUAUUCACAUAAUUUCAGUCAGUGGAAAAUAUCUGGAAAUCAAUUUUGCAGAGGAGACUUUGACCUAUUGACUUUAGCGAUGACUCAGUGGGUGUUGAAAUUAUCUUGACUUCAGGUUUAGAAGGUAAAUAAAAGGUAAGUCAUUACAUUAUUUCUGGUUAAAUGUUUUCCAGGAGCAUGAGAGUCAAUGCAGAACAUCACAUCCAUCUGUCCUGCUGGUCUCUGUCAUCAACUUUUGAUGUCUUCAAAACAAGGUGAGUGGCACUUUCAGACAAGAAGGAAGAUUGUCCUCAGAUGGUCACACUGGGUCUGGCUGUACAGCACUAUGUUGGUUAUUAUAAACACACAAGAAAAGUGUAAGCUGUGGUUCCUGCCCUCAGCUGACAUUAAAUCCACAGGAACACAAUGCCCCGAAUUGGAAAGGGUCUCAUGGGACAACAGUGUCUAUGUUAUUUUUAAUCUUGUGUCCCUAGGGCCUGCCUCCUGCCUAGCGCAGAUUGGGCCCCUAUGCACGAUUGCUGUCUGAGAGGCACUAGGGCAACUUCCCACUCAGCUCAGAGGCCCCCCUCCAGUGUGUGUGGCGUUUACUUGAAGACAUUUACAUACAGGAAUCUCUCCACCAUGCUGGCAGUCCAUUCUAUUGUUAAAUCACUCUUUCCUUCAUAUCGAGUCAAGACCUGCCUACCUUGUAACCUCACAAAUGGACCCAGAUUCUCCCCUCAAGAUCUACGUAGCCUAAGUCAAUUCUCUGGUCUAUAUGUUGGGCUGUAGGUAUUUAGGGAUAUCCAUGUUGUAUCAUGCUACCCUUCUCUGACCUCUGUUAUUUCUUUCUUCAGGUACUUCUCAGGUGUCUUAGUUUUGAGACCACCUCAUCAUCUUAUUGAAUAGGCAAGUCUGGCACCAGUGGUUAGAAAUAGGAUGAAUCAUCUUGUCACUGGGGGUCAUAGCGAUCUGAGUGGAGGCAAACUUGUACAUGCACAGGUGAAGGGCAAUUCAGGAAUUAGUAGAUAGUGACAUAGGCCACUUGCCACUCAUAGGACAGGAGGAUUUUUCCUGGUUUCCAAAGACUUACCUGGACUCUCAAAAGGAGUUACAAUGAGACUGAAAAACAGAGAGACCAUUCUUCUCCAUAGAUUGCCUUGAAUAGACUUCUUAAAAGUGGAGAGGGAAAAUGUAUGAGGCUAGUUAGUGGAAGACCAGUAAGAGGGGACCAAGUCUCCAUUCAUCUUGAAUCUAACAAGGCUCUCAGCUGGUAGCAUGUCUUCACUACUUGUUACAUGAUCUCUAGAAAACAUGUAGGGAUGUGGAACGUCGUUGCUUCUGGCAUUCUUGUUAGAACAUUAGAAGGCGACAGCUUGAAAUAGAGAGGGUGCCAAUCACAGGGCCAGGGCAGGUAAUGUGGGCACUUUUCUCUUUCCAUGCUGGGAUUGUGCAACAGGCAGCCACAUCAUUCAGCACAUUAAGCCACAAUUGAGCCUCCAGGACUCAGAUUGUAAUGGAGACUGAGGCAGCGUGAGGAUGCAUAUUAGCAUGAAGGUAAGGGUAAGAUGGAGAGGGAUGGGAUGGGUAGGGAGGAAAGAAUGGGAGCAGCUUAGCAUGAGUAGGAGUCCUGCACUCGGAGUCAGAACUGACCCCUGGUGCCACUAUUUAUUAGCUAUGUGAGCUAACUAGAGAUUUCAUCUUGCUAUGCCUUAGUUUCUUCAUCUGUGAAAUAUGGGCAAUAAAACCUGGCUAGUAGAUAUGUGCUAAGGAUUUAGUGAGAACAUUUGCAAAUUCUCCACCUCGGGUGGUACACGGUGAACUAUCAAUAAAUGGGGGCUCUUUUUAAAAUUUAAAAAAAUUGUAUAAUUUUUUUGUUUUGGAGAGAGGGAGAGUGCACUUGAGCAGGGGAGAGAGGCAGAGAGAGAGAG
Leopardus geoffroyi (Geoffroy's cat) is the source of this 2585-nucleotide long non-coding RNA. RefSeq lists it as uncharacterized. The transcript has 3 exons. Lineage: Eukaryota; Metazoa; Chordata; Mammalia; Carnivora; Felidae. The record is from RefSeq and is a predicted model, not a curated record.